RNAcentral lists this small nuclear RNA (20 nucleotides) under Arabidopsis thaliana (thale cress). RNAcentral's name for it is "snRNA_15297". Lineage: Eukaryota; Viridiplantae; Streptophyta; Magnoliopsida; Brassicales; Brassicaceae. The record is from RNAcentral.
GCUUAGGCUCCCAAAGGCAC